Long non-coding RNA from Elgaria multicarinata webbii, 243 nucleotides. RefSeq lists it as uncharacterized. The record is from RefSeq and is a predicted model, not a curated record. Lineage: Eukaryota; Metazoa; Chordata; Lepidosauria; Squamata; Anguidae. The transcript has 4 exons.
AUCAUCUCCUCCACUGAAACAGUCCCUUCCAUCUUCUCCACCAAGAGCUGGGCCAUCAACGAAAACAACGGCACAACAACCUGCUCAGACCAAAGGGAACCUCAGGAGGAAGGUGUCAAGAAAAAGAAGAGGAAGCCAAAAAAUGAGGAGCCUGCCGAGAAAAGGAAAAGAAUGAAAAGAUGCUCAUUCCUGCCUUCUUUUCCUCCCUUCCUUCUAUUUCCUCUUCCAUUCUCUCUCUCUCCC